ACCGGAAGGUAUGAUUAAGAUAAAUACUGAUGGAGCCUUAUUCGAAGAUUCUAACACAUACAGCUAUUCCAUGAUAGUGAGAAACCAUGCAGGUGAUCUAGUAGAAUCAAAAGCAAGCUGUAGACAGACUUGUUGGAAACGUGUAUGGGCCUUAAACCAAAAACUUCCGAUAUAUUAGGAUACAAACACACACAACUUGUAUAUUAAUGUAACACGCAGCUACACUACUUAUAAUUUUUUUACACACGCUAGCUAGGCUUCAGCCUUUCCUAUUACACACAGAAAUGGCACACGGCCUUUUCACUCAGAGCUUCAGCUCUUCUAAAUUUCUCUCUACAACUGCUGUUGUAGUUUUCCUCUGUGUGUUCUCUAUUUCUUCUUCCUCUAGCAGCCUUAUAUAUAGGUUACAGAUUACAACUUGUAACACAUAUUUAUUGCUGCUCUAGACUUUUAUCAGCCUGCCAUCUUUGACCUGGAGUAUGCUGCAGAUUGUCACCAGCCUGUGUUAAUUAAAGAGAGCCCACCUUAUAUCCAGGAGCUAUGUUUCUUUCUUCGAUCUCUCCCAUAUAACAGUCCAUACAUUCAAGUCUUCAUUGUAACUAGCACCUUUAUUUUCUUCCGUUGAUACUACUACAUCUAUACAUCUUAUACACACCCAGCUGUUAUUUAUGACUCAAGUCCUACUUGCGUAACAGGAUAACAUUAGCAUUUAUAUCAGCUGCUAAUAUGGUCUUCCAUGUUAUCCGGUACACACAAGAUGAACUCCAACCCUCACUUAAUAGCCAACCAUUUAUUCUGCAUAUAUUCUUGCAGCCUACCGUAAUUUCAGGAUCACCUAGUUAUUAUAAUUAAUACGAGUUUGAAUUCUAACACUCCCCCUCAAACUCGUAUUUCUAUCCCGAGCUUCUUUUCCAUUUUGUGAAAUAUAUGCCACCUUAUCAGCUUCAUGAUAAUAUUUGUCAGGUCAUUUAAAAAUUGGGAUAAAUAUCAAGUUGGUGACUCGUUUCGUCCAAAUGUAUCAAUUGAGUGACUGAUUCCUAAAUUGACUCAAAUGAGUCACUCAUUAGAAAAAUUUGUAUCAAAAAUAUCAUUCUAUCAUUAGUCGAAAUUUUGAAAGUAUUAUAUAUUGAGUUUCGCACAUUUUUUAUGAAUGAUAUUACAUCUAAAUGAAAGAUUAUGAGUUCUAGUAUUUUUGAUAAUAUUUUUAGAUUUUUAAAAAUUUAUCUCCUAUUUAUUUUUAUUUAAAUCAAAUAAAACAAUCAAAAAAUUAAAAAUAAAUAGUUGAUAAAAUUUUAAAAAUCUAAAAAUAUUUAUGGUCUUCCAUGUUAUCCGGUACACACAAGAUGAACUCCAACCCUCACUUAACAGCCAACCAUUUAUUCUGCAUAUAUUCUUGCAGCCUACCGUAAUUUCAGGAUCACCUAGUUAUUAUAAUUAAUACGAGUUUGAAUUCUAACACUCCCCCUCAAACUCGUAUUUCUAUCCCGAGCUUCUUUUCCAUUUUGUGAAAUAUAUGCCACCUUAUCAGCUUCAUGAUAAUAUUUGUCAGGCCAUUUAAAAAUUUUGUAUCUCUUCUUGUAGCCUUUAAAAUUUUUACCUCGACCAAAUGAUCGGUGACCUUCAUUUUUCUGGCGUCUCUCAAACGGUUUCCUUCCACAUUUAUGUCUGCCUUGAUAACCACCUUUUCCACGUACAAAGCCGCUUCUGCUAGAAUUGUAUUAAUGGCCGGAUACCUUACUUUCUAGUAUUUUUUCCGAUUGAUUCUCGUAUCGAGUCAUUCGUUGCUUGUGGACUUGAAAAGAAUCUACUAGCUUAUCACUUGAAAUUCUGUAAGAGUAGUACUCCUUUGUCUUCCCUGUUAAUAUAACGAUACAAUCAAAUUUUGUUGUCAAUAGAGGAAGGAGCUUUUCCAUGACUUGAACAUCAUCAAGACUUUCACCAUUUCCUCUUAUUUCACUUGUCAUCGUUUUCAAACGCGUAACAUUUUCUUCAAUAUUUUCAGAAUUUUUCAUUUUCAUAUUCUCGAACUCGCCAUGCAAUACUUGAGGCUCCACCUCUUCUUCUUUAUCGACUCCUUGGAAUGAUUUCUGCAGAAUCUCCCAGGCGUCUUUUGCUUUUUUUUUCAUGCGCAAUAUUAUCAAAGGUGGAUUCGUCGAUACCUUGAUAAAUCAUGAAACAUGCCUUGUUAUUUUUGCUCCUGCACCCAUUUAAUGUCGUCUUCUCGGCUUCUGACAGAGCUACUUCAGCCGCUGAUGUGAACUCAUCAUACCCGCUUUCGACUAUAUCCCAAACAUCAUAAAAAUGGAGUAAUUCCUUCAUUUGGAUACUCCAGUCUCCAUAAUUUGUGCCCGUCAACAUUGGAACAUGGGCUUCCAGGAAACUUACCAUUAUUUUUUUCUCGAACAAAACCUCGGCUCUGAUGCCACUUGUUGGAAACGUGUAUGGGCCUUAAACCAAAAACUUCCGAUAUAUUAGGAUACAAACACACACAACUUGUAUAUUAAUGUAACACGCAGCUACACUACUUAUAAUUUUGUUACACACGCUAGCUAGGCUUCAGCCUUUCCUAUUACACACAGAGAUGGCACACGGCCUUUUCACUCAGAGCUUCAGCUCUUCUAAAUUUCUCUCUACAACUGCUGUUGUAGUUUUCCUCUGUGUGUUCUCUAUUUCUUCUUCCUCUAGCAGCCUUAUAUAUAGGUUACAGAUUACAACUUGUAACACAUAUUUAUUGCUGCUCUAGACUUUUAUCAGCCUUCCAUCUUUGACCUGAAGUAUGCUGCAGAUUGUCACCAGCCUGUGUUAAUUAAAGAGAGCCCACCUUAUAUCCAGGAGCUAUGUUUCUUUCUUCGAUCUCUCCCAUAUAACAGUCCAUACAUUCAAGUCUUCAUUGUAACUAGCACCUUUAUUUUCUUCCGUUGAUACUACUACAUCUAUACAUCUUAUACACACCCAGCUGUUAUUUAUGACUCAAGUCCUACUUGCGUAACAGGAUAACAUUAGCAUUUAUAUCAGCUGCUAAUAUGGUCUUCCAUGUUAUCCGGUACACACAAGAUGAACUCCAACCCUCACUUAAUAGCCA
RNAcentral lists this long non-coding RNA (3082 nucleotides) under Daucus carota (carrot). RNAcentral's name for it is "long non-coding RNA (DCAR_LNC007321)". Lineage: Eukaryota; Viridiplantae; Streptophyta; Magnoliopsida; Apiales; Apiaceae. The record is from RNAcentral.